RNAcentral lists this ribosomal RNA (572 nucleotides) under uncultured marine eukaryote. RNAcentral describes it as "SSU rRNA". It matches the Rfam family "Eukaryotic small subunit ribosomal RNA", at positions 667 to 1237 of the family's 1831-position model. The record is from RNAcentral.
UUUGUAGUUUUACUGCUUUAUAGGCUGUGCUUUUGCUGGAGGUUUAGGGGUGCUCUUGAUCGAGUGUCUCUGGAUGCCAGCAGGUUUACUUUGAAAAAAUUAGAGUGCUCAAAGCAGGCUAAAAUGCCUGAAUAUUCGUGCAUGGAAUAAUAGAAUAGGAUGUCGAUCCUAUUUUGUUGGUUUUCGGGACUCGACAUAAUGAUAAAUAGGGACAGUCGGGGGCAUUUGUAUUCAAACGACAGAGGUGAAAUUCUUGGACCGUUUGAAGACAAACUACUGCGAAAGCAUUUGCCAAGAAUGUUUUCAUUAAUCAAGAACGAAAGUUAGAGGUUCGAAGGCGAUUAGAUACCGCCCUAGUUCUAACCAUAAACGAUGCCAGCUAGCGAUCUGCCUGCGUUUUUACUGUAGACUGGGCAGGAAGCUUCCGGGAAACCAAAGCAUUUGGGUUCCAGGGGAAGUAUGGUUGCAAAGCUGAAACUUAAAGGAAUUGACGGAAGGGCACCACCAGGAGUGGAGCCUGUGGCUUAAUUUGACUCAACACGGGAAAUCUCACCAGGCCCGGACACUGGAAG